UGAACGCUGGCGGCAGGCCUAACACAUGCAAGUCGAACGGUAACAGGAAGCAGCUUGCUGCUUUGCUGACGAGUGGCGGACGGGUGAGUAAUGUCUGGGAAACUGCCUGAUGGAGGGGGAUAACUACUGGAAACGGUGGCUAAUACCGCAUAACGUCGCAAGACCAAAGAGGGGGACCUUCGGGCCUCUUGCCAUCAGAUGUGCCCAGAUGGGAUUAGCUUGUUGGUGAGGUAACGGCUCACCAAGGCGACGAUCCCUAGCUGGUCUGAGAGGAUGACCAGCCACACUGGAACUGAGACACGGUCCAGACUCCUACGGGAGGCAGCAGUGGGGAAUAUUGCACAAUGGGCGCAAGCCUGAUGCAGCCAUGCCGCGUGUAUGAAGAAGGCCUUCGGGUUGUAAAGUACUUUCAGCGGGGAGGAAGGUGUUGUGGUUAAUAACCGCAGCAAUUGACGUUACCCGCAGAAGAAGCACCGGCUAACUCCGUGCCAGCAGCCGCGGUAAUACGGAGGGUGCAAGCGUUAAUCGGAAUUACUGGGCGUAAAGCGCACGCAGGCGGUCUGUCAAGUCGGAUGUGAAAUCCCCGGGCUCAACCUGGGAACUGCAUUCGAAACUGGCAGGCUUGAGUCUUGUAGAGGGGGGUAGAAUUCCAGGUGUAGCGGUGAAAUGCGUAGAGAUCUGGAGGAAUACCGGUGGCGAAGGCGGCCCCCUGGACAAAGACUGACGCUCAGGUGCGAAAGCGUGGGGAGCAAACAGGAUUAGAUACCCUGGUAGUCCACGCCGUAAACGAUGUCUACUUGGAGGUUGUGCCCUUGAGGCGUGGCUUCCGGAGCUAACGCGUUAAGUAGACCGCCUGGGGAGUACGGCCGCAAGGUUAAAACUCAAAUGAAUUGACGGGGGCCCGCACAAGCGGUGGAGCAUGUGGUUUAAUUCGAUGCAACGCGAAGAACCUUACCUGGUCUUGACAUCCACGGAAGUUUUCAGAGAUGGAUUGGUGCCUUCGGGAACCGUGAGACAGGUGCUGCAUGGCUGUCGUCAGCUCGUGUUGUGAAAUGUUGGGUUAAGUCCCGCAACGAGCGCAACCCUUAUCCUUUGUUGCCAGCGGUCCGGCCGGGAACUCAAAGGAGACUGCCAGUGAUAAACUGGAGGAAGGUGGGGAUGACGUCAAGUCAUCAUGGCCCUUACGACCAGGGCUACACACGUGCUACAAUGGCGCAUACAAAGAGAAGCGACCUCGCGAGAGCAAGCGGACCUCAUAAAGUGCGUCGUAGUCCGGAUUGGAGUCUGCAACUCGACUCCAUGAAGUCGGAAUCGCUAGUAAUCGUGGAUCAGAAUGCCACGGUGAAUACGUUCCCGGGCCUUGUACACACCGCCCGUCACACCAUGGGAGUGGGUUGCAAAAGAAGUAGGUAGCUUAACCUUCGGGAGGGCGCUUACCACUUUGUGAUUCAUGACUGGGGUGAAGUCGUAACAAGGUAACCGUAGGGGAACCUGCGGUUGGAUCACCUCCUUACCUUAAAGAA
Molecule: ribosomal RNA, 1523 nt
Filed under: Salmonella enterica subsp. enterica serovar Schwarzengrund
Lineage: Bacteria; Pseudomonadati; Pseudomonadota; Gammaproteobacteria; Enterobacterales; Enterobacteriaceae
Description: bacterial SSU rRNA
Rfam family: Bacterial small subunit ribosomal RNA
Source: RNAcentral